Molecule: ribosomal RNA, 460 nt
Filed under: uncultured bacterium
Lineage: Bacteria
Description: partial 16S ribosomal RNA
Rfam family: Bacterial small subunit ribosomal RNA
Source: RNAcentral
CCUACGGGAGGCAGCAGUGAGGAAUAUUGGUCAAUGGGCGCGAGCCUGAACCAGCCAAGUAGCGUGAAGGAUGACUGCCCUACGGGUUGUAAACUUCUUUUAUAAAGGAAUAAAGUGAGGCACGUGUGCCUUUUUGUAUGGACUUUAUGAAUAAGGCACGGCUAACCCCGUGCCAGCAGCCGCGGUAAUACGGAGGAGCCGAGCGUUAUCCGGAUUUAUUGGGGUUAAAGGGAUGGUAGCUGGGUUGUUAAGUCAGUUGUGAAAGUUUGCGGCUCAACCGUAAAAUUGCAAUUGAUACUGGCAGCCUUGAGUACAGUUGAGGUAGGCGGAAUGCGUGGUGUAGCGGUGAAAUGCAUAGAUAUCACGAAGAACUCCGAUUGCGAAGGCAGCCUACUAAACUGCCACUGACAUUGAUGCUCGAAAGUGUGGGUAUCAAACAGGAUUAGAUACCCUGGUAGUC